This 923-nucleotide ribosomal RNA is filed under the name Agreia sp. RNAcentral's name for it is "bacterial SSU rRNA". It matches the Rfam family "Bacterial small subunit ribosomal RNA", at positions 555 to 1474 of the family's 1533-position model. Lineage: Bacteria; Bacillati; Actinomycetota; Actinomycetes; Micrococcales; Microbacteriaceae. The record is from RNAcentral.
UGGGCGUAAGAGCUCGUAGGCGGUUUGUCGCGUCUGCUGUGAAAACUGGAGGCUCAACCUCCAGCCUGCAGUGGGUACGGGCAGACUAGAGUGCGGUAGGGGAGAUUGGAAUUCCUGGUGUAGCGGUGGAAUGCGCAGAUAUCAGGAGGAACACCGAUGGCGAAGGCAGAUCUCUGGGCCGUAACUGACGCUGAGGAGCGAAAGCAUGGGGAGCGAACAGGAUUAGAUACCCUGGUAGUCCAUGCCGUAAACGUUGGGAACUAGAUGUGGGGGCCAUUCCACGGUCUCCGUGUCGCAGCUAACGCAUUAAGUUCCCCGCCUGGGGAGUACGGCCGCAAGGCUAAAACUCAAAGGAAUUGACGGGGGCCCGCACAAGCGGCGGAGCAUGCGGAUUAAUUCGAUGCAACGCGAAGAACCUUACCAAGGCUUGACAUAUACGAGAACGGGCCAGAAAUGGUCAACUCUUUGGACACUCGUAAACAGGUGGUGCAUGGUUGUCGUCAGCUCGUGUCGUGAGAUGUUGGGUUAAGUCCCGCAACGAGCGCAACCCUCGUUCUAUGUUGCCAGCACGUUAUGGUGGGAACUCAUAGGAGACUGCCGGGGUCAACUCGGAGGAAGGUGGGGAUGACGUCAAAUCAUCAUGCCCCUUAUGUCUUGGGCUUCACGCAUGCUACAAUGGCCGGUACAAAGGGCUGCAAUACCGUAAGGUGGAGCGAAUCCCAAAAAGCCGGUCUCAGUUCGGAUUGAGGUCUGCAACUCGACCUCAUGAAGUCGGAGUCGCUAGUAAUCGCAGAUCAGCAACGCUGCGGUGAAUACGUUCCCGGGCCUUGUACACACCGCCCGUCAAGUCAUGAAAGUCGGUAACACCCAACGCCAGUGGCCUAACCCCUUGUGGGAGGGAGCUGUCUAAGUGGGAUCGGUGA